Non-coding RNA from Nicotiana tabacum (common tobacco), 839 nucleotides. Lineage: Eukaryota; Viridiplantae; Streptophyta; Magnoliopsida; Solanales; Solanaceae. The record is from RefSeq and is a predicted model, not a curated record.
CCGGCAAAAAAAAUGACUGGCCACUAAAAGCAGCUAAUUCAAAAGAAAUUUUAGUAUUUUAUCUUACCCUCACCUAAUAUUCCCUCCAAUUUCUCAAAAUAACAAAAUGAAAUUUGAAAAAUUUGGGAAUACAUCACAAAGACUCAACCUAUCUAACCGCUGCUGAAACCAUUACCGCCACUGCAAUUGAUUUCUAUCUCAUCGCCGGCAACCAAUUCCAGUUGCUAAGGUGAUUUUCUUAUAUCUAGGGUUGGAGUAGUUCCCCUUCAUUAUUUUUUGAGAAAAUCAAAUGGCCGCUCCACCUGCUCUAGCCCAUCACGACUACAGAUUAGCUCAUCAAGCUCCUUUUGAUUAGCAAUAGCAAGCAAAUGUGAUUGCCGGUGGCAGCAUUAUUAAUCUGAGUCUGCGGGAUACUGCAGGAAGGAAGAUUACAAUAAAAUAAGACCCUUGAGGCUUGAGCUAUCAUGGGCAGAUGUAUCUAGAAUUUCAGACAGAAAGAUUUCUCGCUAGCAAGCACAAUUACAAAAAUGUCUCCAAAAAAAGCGGAUUCCUAAAUUGAGACAUUAUGUUCCCGGAGUACCAAUUAUACUUAUUCGAACAAAGCUAGGUGAUAUAUUGUGAUGUUCAGAGAUAUAGCAUGUGAAAGUUCAUGUGAUCAAGAGUUGGGAGAAUCUGUCCGAUGUAAUUUAUUAUCGAGCUUAUAGCUACUUGAUAAAAUAACUAAUUAGAUGCGAAAUAUUAUUGGAUUCAAAUAAUUUAGCAUUUUUAUGUUGUUUGCACUCUCAAAUUAUGGAUUUAAUGAAGUGCAUUGAGCUGUUUGAAGUGAAUUAAUAUUAUUA